Molecule: long non-coding RNA, 897 nt
Organism: Oreochromis niloticus (Nile tilapia)
Lineage: Eukaryota; Metazoa; Chordata; Actinopteri; Cichliformes; Cichlidae
Exons: 5
Source: RefSeq, a predicted model, not a curated record
GAACCACGGUAGAGCUAACUCAAGACCUUCUUCCUGUGCGGUAACGGUGCUAACCACUGUGCCGCCCGCAUAAGAGGAGAGCCACUGAGGGAACGCCUUCCGCCCUUCCGACGCCUCCACCGUGACUCCACUUCUGAGAGGAAUUGCCUACAGAUCAAGCAUGGAGUGUGCCUGAAUGGACAUACAGAACUCCAAGGUUCGGCCCGGUGUUGAGGGUUUUCCCAAAGGUGAGGGCCCGGCGGGCGGUGCCUCACAGCCCUCCGCCUCUGGGAGUGGCCCAUUUCUACUAAGGAGGCAAGAGGUGGCCAGGAGUCUGUCAGCGAGUUCUGCAUGUCCUGGUGACCCUCCACCUGUUUCACAGGUCGUUGGACUGUGGCAGGAAGCCGGAGUACAAGGAAAGAACCCACGCAAAAACAGGAAGAACAUGCAAACUCCACACAGAACCACGAAGAGGAGAGCCACUGAGGGAACGCCUUCCGCCCUUCCGACGCCUCCACCGUGACUCCACUUCUGAGAGGAAUUGCCUACAGAUCAAGCAUGGAGUGUGCCUGAAUGGACAUACAGAACUCCAAGGUUCGGCCCGGUGUUGAGGGUUUUCCCAAAGGUGAGGGCCCGGCGGGCGGUGCCUCACAGCCCUCCGCCUCUGGGAGUGGCCCAUUUCUACUAAGGAGGCAAGAGGUGGCCAGGAGUCUGUCAGCGAGUUCUGCAUGUCCUGGUGACCCUCCACCUGUUUCACAGUGUCACAGGGGAACUCGAGCCUAUCCCAGCUAUCUUAGGGCGAGAAGCAGGGUACACCCUCCACAGGUCACCAGUCUGUUGCAGAGCUAACACAUAGACACAGAAAACCAUUCGCACCUGUGGGCGAUUUAGACUUUUCAACUAACCUCUUGCCACUAA